Molecule: non-coding RNA, 72 nt
Organism: Bos taurus (domestic cattle)
Lineage: Eukaryota; Metazoa; Chordata; Mammalia; Artiodactyla; Bovidae
Source: Rfam
UCCCUGGUGGCUCAGACGGUAAAGCAUCUGCCUGCAAUGUGGAAGACCCAGGUUCAAUUGCUGGGUUGGGAA